GUUCCCCAUGAUGCUUCAGUAUGAACCAUGCUAAUGCUGAUCAGUCCAUGAUCAAUCCUUUAUUCUUUCAUUUGCUAAGGGAAUG
Molecule: small nucleolar RNA, 85 nt
Organism: Carya illinoinensis
Lineage: Eukaryota; Viridiplantae; Streptophyta; Magnoliopsida; Fagales; Juglandaceae
Product: small nucleolar RNA snoR53Y
Exons: 1
Source: RefSeq, a predicted model, not a curated record